This 491-nucleotide ribosomal RNA is filed under the name uncultured bacterium. Its description in RNAcentral is "partial 16S ribosomal RNA". It matches the Rfam family "Bacterial small subunit ribosomal RNA", at positions 29 to 507 of the family's 1533-position model. The record is from RNAcentral.
AGUGAACGCUGGCGGUAGGCCUAACACAUGCAAGUCGAACGGCAGCACAGUAAGAGCUUGCUCUUACGGGUGGCGAGUGGCGGACGGGUGAGGAAUACAUCGGAAUCUACUUUUUCGUGGGGGAUAACGUAGGGAAACUUACGCUAAUACCGCAUACGACCUACGGGUGAAAGCAGGGGAUCUUCGGACCUUGCGCGAUUGAAUGAGCCGAUGUCGGAUUAGCUAGUUGGCGGGGUAAAGGCCCACCAAGGCGACGAUCCGUAGCUGGUCUGAGAGGAUGAUCAGCCACACUGGAACUGAGACACGGUCCAGACUCCUACGGGAGGCAGCAGUGGGGAAUAUUGGACAAUUGGCGCAAGCCUGAUCCAGCCAUACCGCGUGGGUGAAGAAGGCCUUCGGGUUGUAAAGCCCUUUGUUGGGAAAGAAAAGCAGCAGGUUAAUACCCCGCUGUUCUGACGGUACCCAAAGAAUAAGCACCGGCUAACUUCGUG